RNAcentral lists this ribosomal RNA (401 nucleotides) under uncultured bacterium. RNAcentral describes it as "bacterial SSU rRNA". It matches the Rfam family "Bacterial small subunit ribosomal RNA", at positions 30 to 425 of the family's 1533-position model. The record is from RNAcentral.
AUUGAACGCUGGCGGCAGGCCUAACACAUGCAAGUCGAACGGUAACAGGAAGAAGCUUGCUUCUUUGCUGACGAGUGGCGGACGGGUGAGUAAUGUCUGGGAAACUGCCUGAUGGAGGGGGAUAACUACUGGAAACGGUAGCUAAUACCGCAUAACGUCGCAAGACCAAAGAGGGGGACCUUUCGGGCCUCUUGCCAUCGGAUGUGCCCAGAUGGGAUUAGCUAGUAGGUGGGGUAACGGCUCACCUAGGCGACGAUCCCUAGCUGGUCUGAGAGGAUGACCAGCCACACUGGAACUGAGACACGGUCCAGACUCCUACGGGAGGCAGCAGUGGGGAAUAUUGCACAAUGGGCGCAAGCCUGAUGCAGCCAUGCCGCGUGUAUGAAGAAGGCCUUCGGUUG